Long non-coding RNA from Drosophila mojavensis, 503 nucleotides. RefSeq lists it as uncharacterized. Lineage: Eukaryota; Metazoa; Arthropoda; Insecta; Diptera; Drosophilidae. The record is from RefSeq and is a predicted model, not a curated record. The transcript has 2 exons.
ACGAUUUAAUUGUAUCGCAAAAUGGGUUUUGAAUAAUCGAGACAAUCGAUGAUUUGCUCAAAAAAUCGCAUCGCUAUAAGCAACAUUGGCGCGCAAAAGUUGGAAAGCGAAGCGUAAUUAUGGCACCAACAAUUAGUUAAGUUAUGAAGCGCAUACGACAAGAAAUGGCGGAGCUUUCAGAUAUAAAUGAAAGUUUAGGAAGCACUAGUGACGGCUCAUCUACUCGCGAAGUUGAGUUCGAUUUAUGGACCCACCACAAGGCACUGGCCCAGUAAGAAAGACGCGUAAUGUCGUCAAUGCCUGGGAGGAGAUGCGUACUUUAUACCCUAAGCUAUAUGUUAUAGCUUGGUAUUGUUUCUUAAUAGGCACUUCGGUACCAGCGGAACGUCUUUCCCAAGGCGGGUGCCACAUUAACCGAAAAAAGGAACAGGUUAACAACAGAGCACCUUUCACAACUACUAUUUCUUAACUCAAUUUUAAAUAAAUAAACAUUUAUAUUCUUG